AGUUAAAAUUUUCAUCCACUGUUAAAAACUGACCUGGCUGACUGUAUAACCAAGCAGUUACGCAUAGCAUGCCACUGUACCUCAUGUCAACAUACAGGGACUUGUUUUUAACAGUAGAAAUGGAUAAUUUUUUUAACA
Molecule: non-coding RNA, 138 nt
Organism: Gossypium hirsutum (cotton)
Lineage: Eukaryota; Viridiplantae; Streptophyta; Magnoliopsida; Malvales; Malvaceae
Source: Rfam